This is an RNA transcript of Papilio xuthus (Asian swallowtail), 740 nucleotides long. RefSeq lists it as uncharacterized. Lineage: Eukaryota; Metazoa; Arthropoda; Insecta; Lepidoptera; Papilionidae. The transcript is spliced from 2 exons. The record is from RefSeq and is a predicted model, not a curated record.
CAUAGAUAAAAUCGUAAACGUAACCAUGUAAACAAAUGUAACAGUAAAUUAUGCAAGGAUUAUUUACUAAUUCCCUAUGGUAUAUCGAGUUCUUCGUAUUUGCUAUAGUAUUAAUUGGUUUUUUCAUAUUGUUUUUGUAUAUGGCUAACACAAAUUACGUUCAAUAUAAUGUUAGAUACGAUAUGAGACAAAAAUACAUGGCUGAUGGUACUUGGCUGCUUCAAGCAUAGCAUUAUGAGAAAAGUAGAUGGCAAAAUACAGAUAAUUGUGUAAUUUUUUUUCACACGUAGUAAAACUUUAAGAUUGUAGGUUUUAAAAGGUUACAAAUGCGGUUCCUACUUUUAUGGGAGUUAAGGACGUCCAGAAAAAGAAAGAAAUACAGGAGGAUAUUUCUCGUUCCUGCACACUCCCGUUAAAUAUAAUUUCCAGUCACAAUUUUAAGUCACCAGAAAAUGGGAAGGAGAAGACUAGAAUUUUGUCUCCUUUAUAAUAUUUCCAGCUACCAAAGUAUCGCGAGCGACAAAUGUAAAUGCAAGCCGCCUGAGCCGGACCAGCGGCCGGUGUGCGUCGACAUGGGCUGCAUUUGGUUCUGCCGGCUCAUCGGAAGCAUCGUCACCAUUGCCGUUUGCUACUACUUCGCCUACGCUCUGAUAUCAGAUACCAAACUCAAGUUUGGACUCUUUGUUCCACCGUAAAUCAUAAAUAAAACAAAUGAGAAUCUCCAGUAAAACAGUUUCUUA